CAGAGGUGGCAAGCGUUGUUCGGAUUCAUUGGGCGUAAAGGGUCCGUAGGCGGUUCAGAAAGUUGGAGGUGAAAUCCCAUGGCUUAACCAUGGAACUGCCUUCAAAACUCCUGGACUAGAGGAUGAGAGGGGUAGAGGGAAUUCCCGGUGUAAGGGUGAAAUCUGCAGAGAUCGGGAAGAACACCAGUCGCGAAGGCGCUCUACUGGCUCAUUUCUGACGCUGAGGGACGAAAGCUAGGGGAGCAAACGGGAUUAGAUACCCCGGUAGUCCUAGCUGUAAACGAUGAUCACUAGGUGUCGGGUGGGUAAACCAUUCGGUGCCGCCGCUAACGCAUUAAGUGAUCCGCCUGGGAAGUACUGUCGCAAGGCAG
Molecule: ribosomal RNA, 371 nt
Filed under: uncultured organism
Description: bacterial SSU rRNA
Rfam family: Bacterial small subunit ribosomal RNA
Source: RNAcentral